AAUUUGAAAUCUGGCCCCUCCGGGGUCCGAGUUGUAAUUUGCAGAGAGCGCUUCGGGCGAGGUCGCGGUCUAAGUCCAUUGGAACAUGGCGUCAUAGAGGGUGAGAAUCCCGUAUGCGACCGUGGGCCGAGCCCGUGUGAAGCCUCUUCGACGAGUCGAGUUGUUUGGGAAUGCAGCUCCAAAUGGGUGGUAUAUUUCAUCUAAAGCUAAAUAUUGGCUGGAGACCGAUAGCGCACAAGUAGAGUGAUCGAAAGAUGAAAAGCACUUUGGAAAGAGAGUCAAACAGUACGUGAAAUUGUUGAAAGGGAAGCGCUUGCAACCAGACCUGCCCGGGGGCGAUCAGCCGCUGUUCUCAGCGGUGCACUCGUUCCCCGACCAGGCCAGCAUCGGUUCCGGCGGUCG
Molecule: ribosomal RNA, 402 nt
Filed under: Oropogon americanus
Lineage: Eukaryota; Fungi; Ascomycota; Lecanoromycetes; Lecanorales; Parmeliaceae
Description: eukaryotic LSU rRNA
Rfam family: Eukaryotic large subunit ribosomal RNA
Source: RNAcentral